UUAGUGGCGGACGGGUGAGUAACGCGUGGAAAACCUGCCGUAUACUGGGGGAUAACACUUAGAAAUAGGUGCUAAUACCGCAUAAGCGCACAGCUUCGCAUGAAGCGGUGUAGAAAAACUCUGGUGGUAUACGAUGGUUCCGCGUCUGAUUAGCUAGUUGGUGGGGUAAUGGCCUACCAAGGCAACGAUCAGUAGCCGGCCUGAGAGGGUGAACGGCCACAUUGGGACUGAGACACGGCCCAAACUCCUACGGAAGGCAGCAG
Molecule: ribosomal RNA, 263 nt
Filed under: uncultured bacterium
Lineage: Bacteria
Description: partial 16S ribosomal RNA
Rfam family: Bacterial small subunit ribosomal RNA
Source: RNAcentral